CCUACGGGUGGCAGCAGUGGGGAAUAUUGCACAAUGGGGGAAACCCUGAUGCAGCGACGCCGCGUGGGUGAAGAAGCGCCUCGGCGCGUAAAGCCCUGUCAGCAGGGAAGAAAAUGACGGUACCUGACGAAGAAGCCCCGGCUAACUACGUGCCAGCAGCCGCGGUAAUACGUAGGGGGCAAGCGUUAUCCGGAUUUACUGGGUGUAAAGGGGGCGCAGACGGCGAUGCAAGCCAGGAGUGAAAGCCCGGGGCCCAACCCCGGGACUGCUCUUGGAUCUGCGUGGCUGGAGUGCAGGAGGGGCAGGCGGAAUUCCUGGUGUAGCGGUGAAAUGCGUAGAUAUCAGGAGGAACACCGGUGGCGAAGGCGGCCUGCUGGACUGCAACUGACGUUGAGGCCCGAAAGCGUGGGGAGCAAACAGGAUUAGAUACCCCGGUAGUC
Molecule: ribosomal RNA, 440 nt
Filed under: uncultured bacterium
Lineage: Bacteria
Description: partial 16S ribosomal RNA
Rfam family: Bacterial small subunit ribosomal RNA
Source: RNAcentral